Bombus impatiens (common eastern bumble bee) is the source of this 761-nucleotide long non-coding RNA. RefSeq lists it as uncharacterized. NCBI's taxonomy places the organism in Eukaryota, Metazoa, Arthropoda, Insecta, Hymenoptera, Apidae. The transcript has 3 exons. The record is from RefSeq and is a predicted model, not a curated record.
GAAGACUUGGAAGUUGUUCGUGUAAAUGUAUUUUCGAUAUCUUUUUAGAUUCUCUUUAAUAUCGUGUAUCGGGUCAUCGCGUGUAUCGACGAUACUGUUUCAAUUAAAGCAUUCAAUAUGUUUGUAAAAUAUUGACUACACACCAAGCUACACACCAAGCUUCCGAGAAAUAUUAUCAAAACAAACAAGACCUCCGAGAUUUACAGGACUUAUAAGAGUUACAAGAUUUUCAGGUUUCCAAGACUUUCGGGAGUUUUAGGAUAUCGAAUUCUACUCGAAGUGAUUCGGAGUACUUGACAACCCAUUAAUAGAUCGAGUCGUAAGUCGAGCGAACGAUCGUACACGUUAUUCCGUUAUUAGGGACGAUCACCUAGGAACCGUAUUCCACGAAAGUAAGGACGGACUGGUCGUGCGCGUUAAUUAUCGGGAAACAUGAAACGCGACGACAGCAUUGGCGAAUUAUAAGUCAAUUAAAUCACCGUACAAGUGACGAAUGUUUAAACCUUUAACGUGAUCGCAGGUUGAGUAGAUCGUCGAACCAGUUCUUAGUAAAAGGAAUAUCUGUAUAGAUUUUCUGCUUGGCGGAUUUUAUUCUAACUCUUUCUUAAAUCUGAGAACUAAAGAACCCACAUUUUUCAUCAGAAGUUUUUAACAAGGUAUUACUGAAUAAACUUAUAAAACUUCAAAGGUACUUUUAUGUGAUUACACAAAUGUAACACUGUGAAAAUAAGAUGCAGAAUCUGAUAAAUGGACAAUUAUAU